GUGCCAUUACCGGACGUAUUGAAAAACAGAUGAAAAGCAAACUUGCAAGAAAGAAAAGAAUGAAUAUUUUGAAAUACAAGAGAUCACACAACACUGAUACUUUGAAAAAAACAAACGAUACAGAUGAUUUCGUUUGUUUUGUGGCCACGGAUUCAGAGUCCGACGAAGAUGAAAAUCAUGUAAAUCACAAUCAAAGUAAUGUUCGUAGGGUUCAUCGAAAAAGAAAAAACACUCACUCAGAUAUAUUACUUGAUGAAGGAAUAUUUGCUCCCAUAGGUCUCACUGAUAAUGGUAAUUAUGGUUCUCUUUUUGUAAAUUCAUCAUCUAUAUUAUAUUAAAAUAUUAAUUAAAUUUUAUCAGGUUAUUAUGACGAUGGCGAUCCGUCCUACAUGUGUGAUUAUUGCCAAGCUUAUAUGUGGUUUGGCGAAAGAAUAAAUAAAAGAUUUAUAAGUGCCAAACCAUUAUUUACCUUGUGUUGCCAUAAAGGAAAAGUCAAGCUACCUCUUCUUAGAGCACCACCUACUUCAUUGUUGAAACUUCUUUACAAUAAGGGUGAAAUGAGGAAUCACUUUAGAGAAUUCAUUAGAGCGUACAAUAUGAUGUUUUCCUUUACUUCACUUGGUGGUAAAGUCAAUAAUUCCAUCAAUAAUGGUGCUGGACCUUAUUUAUUUCAA
Long non-coding RNA from Brassica napus (rape), 674 nucleotides. RefSeq lists it as uncharacterized. Lineage: Eukaryota; Viridiplantae; Streptophyta; Magnoliopsida; Brassicales; Brassicaceae. The transcript is spliced from 2 exons. The record is from RefSeq and is a predicted model, not a curated record.